CACCUCUCAGGAUGGCAACCGGAGAGUUUCCAGUACUCUACCUGUCUAGGCUAUGAGAGGGAGAGUUAAGCAGAGGCCUACCCAUUCCUUUCCUAGUUUGGGCAGUGGCUAGCUAGUGGAAGGCAAUCUGCCACAAGU
Molecule: small nucleolar RNA, 138 nt
Organism: Ornithorhynchus anatinus (platypus)
Lineage: Eukaryota; Metazoa; Chordata; Mammalia; Monotremata; Ornithorhynchidae
Source: RefSeq, a predicted model, not a curated record